This 261-nucleotide ribosomal RNA is filed under the name Triticum aestivum (bread wheat). RNAcentral's name for it is "partial small subunit ribosomal RNA". The record is from RNAcentral. Lineage: Eukaryota; Viridiplantae; Streptophyta; Magnoliopsida; Poales; Poaceae.
AUGAGAUACCCAUGGGUCUGGUGCGCCUCGGAAGGCAACGCCUGCAGUUCGACAAGCACUUCUCCGAGACGUGCCGCCGGGACCGCUUCUGCCUGCGCUGCGUCGCGGCUUACUGCUCCCACUGCUGCGGCAAUCACCACUUUCACCCGGAGUGGCCGGACCUCCGGGUCCUCCCCAUCGACCUCGACGCCGAAGGCCGGCCCAUAUUCCCAGCCCGGACGGCGCCGGCGCCGGACGGGCACCCGAUCCCGCCGGACAUAG